Long non-coding RNA from Bradysia coprophila, 556 nucleotides. Lineage: Eukaryota; Metazoa; Arthropoda; Insecta; Diptera; Sciaridae. The record is from RefSeq and is a predicted model, not a curated record.
UGUUCUUUACAUUUCGCCGGCCGACCGUUUAAGUUGAUGAUUCAAUAGUUAACCAGUAUUCGGAAUUAAAUUUAAAUUUAAAAGUCGACACAAGUCGCAUUAGCAUUAGAUUAAGUUUCGUGAGUGAAAAUAAAAGCGAAAGUCGUGUGUGUGAUUCUGUUUAGCGACGGAAUUUCCGAAAUACCCGAAAGGUAAAUAAAUAAUUUGUUCAACUGCCAUGUGCGCAACUGAGUAAAUGUUCCGAUGAAUUUGUAGGCCUAAUUUCGUCAUCGACACAGAAUACGUUCAUGCUGGGUCGUAACUUUAAGUUUAGCAGAGCGGAAUAGAGCGAUCCGGAUGUACACACACACGGACUUUGUAAUUUGAAUUGUUUGAGCAUACGCAGAGGAUACAAGAUAAUUUUGAAGUGUUAUAGACAGUAACACGAGCGACAAUAAAAUUAAAGGAAAACGCAAACUACCGUCUAUUCACUGGUCAAAACCAACUCCUUUGCGGGUGCACGCGUGAAACGAUUUUUCACAUUCUUCAAAAUUAUCUUUACUGGUCAAUGGUCGAA